GGCUGAACCAGCAACUUGGAGGAAUGUAUAUCGAAGUCGACUAAAAUUCUAGGUGGAUUAUUAUAAUGAGAUUCUCUAUCUAUAUGUCUUGACCAACACACGUGCCAGCAGUCGCGGCAAGACGUUAAAGACUAGUGUUAUUCAUGUUGAAUCGGUUUAAAGAGUACCAAGACUGUUAAUAAAGCCCAUAAAGGGGACAUAUUAACUAGAGUUUUAUGAAAAGGGGCUUUAAGGUACUGUUGAGUUUAGAGAUAAAAUACAAUGAUACCAUAUAAUGGCACGGGUAAAUGCUAAUGCAUCUCCUUAUGUUAUAACUGACGUCGUAGUACGAAGGCUAUUGUAACUAAGAGGAUUAGGAACCCUUGUAGUAUAGCAGAAAAUGAUGAAUGUCAUAGGUUGAAUAUAAAUAUUAUAUAUAUUAAUUUGGUCUAUAAAUGAAAGUGUAAGCAUUCCACCUCAAGAGUAAUUUGGCAACAUUGGAAUUGAAAUCAUUAGACCGUUUUUGAAACCAGUAGUGAAGUAUGUUGUUUAAUUAGACGACCCGCAAAAAACCUUACCACAAUUUGAAUAAUAUAUAUUUACGUGCGUUGCACGGCUGUCUUCAGUUAAUGUCGUGAGAUUAUGGUUAAAUUCAUAAAUUAACGAAAACCCUUACUUUAUUUAUAGAUAAAGUUGUUCACCGAUAUAUUGGAUAUUGAUAAGAGGGA
This 707-nucleotide ribosomal RNA is filed under the name Nephroma plumbeum. Its description in RNAcentral is "SSU rRNA". It matches the Rfam family "Bacterial small subunit ribosomal RNA", at positions 381 to 1174 of the family's 1533-position model. The record is from RNAcentral. Lineage: Eukaryota; Fungi; Ascomycota; Lecanoromycetes; Peltigerales; Nephromataceae.